UGGUCGGCAAUCAGGCGAAGUAGAUCCAGAAAUUUUCUGUUUCUCUCCUGCUUGUACAAGAGGUCAUUUGUGGGAAGACAGUUGACAGUUGGAAGAAAAAAGAUGAUUCUAAGCACACUUAUGCCGUGAGUGCACACCCACCAUCUUUCCUUUCUCAUCUGCCUCGACAAGAGUAACUACAGAAUCGGCUGUGGAGGGAACAACGUUUACACUUCGGAGAUUAUUUGACGAUGGAAGGAUUUAUUGGCAAGGUGAAUGUGGCGUUGUAAGGGGCGCUCAUAGUCGUUCCAACAAGACACGAUUUGCUGACCCAUUAUAAGCGCAAACUCAGGACUUCGGUCGCCCUGCAAGGUGAAUGUGGCGUUGUAAGGGGCGCUCAUAGUCGUUCCAACAAGUCACGAUUUGCUGACCCAUUAUAAGCGCAAACUCGGGACUUUGGUCGCCCUGCAAGGUAUUCAUGCAUGUUUUCAGAAUGUCCAUGCACAUUUAAGACAUGGAAUGCUUUAAUUUUGCAUCACGGUGCAUGAAACAGUUGGUGAAAAAAUUCAAAAAACGGAAAAACUUGACUG
Engraulis encrasicolus (European anchovy) is the source of this 569-nucleotide long non-coding RNA. RefSeq lists it as uncharacterized. Lineage: Eukaryota; Metazoa; Chordata; Actinopteri; Clupeiformes; Engraulidae. The transcript is spliced from 3 exons. The record is from RefSeq and is a predicted model, not a curated record.